UUUGUAGGUGGUCUGUUAAGUCAGACGUGAAAUCCCUCAGCUUAACUGGGGAACUGCGUCUGAGACUGAUGGACUUGAGGGCAGGAGAGGAACGCGGAAUUCCAGGUGUAGCGGUGAAAUGCGUAGAUAUCUGGAGGAACACCGGUGGCGAAGGCGGCGUUCUGGACUGUUUCUGACACUGAAAAACGAAAGCCAGGGGAAGCAAACG
Molecule: ribosomal RNA, 208 nt
Filed under: uncultured bacterium
Lineage: Bacteria
Description: partial 16S ribosomal RNA
Rfam family: Bacterial small subunit ribosomal RNA
Source: RNAcentral